Molecule: small nuclear RNA, 107 nt
Filed under: Sus scrofa (pig)
Lineage: Eukaryota; Metazoa; Chordata; Mammalia; Artiodactyla; Suidae
Source: RNAcentral
GUGCUUGGUUCAGCAGCACAUAUACUAACAUUGGAAUGAUACAGAGAAGAUUAUCAUGGCCCCUGCGCAAGGAUGACAUGCAAAUUCAUGAAGCAUUCCAUAUUUCU